UGCCAGCCGCCGCGGUAACACGGGGGGCGCAAGCGUUAUUCGGAAUUAUUGGGCGUAAAGGGCGCGCAGGCGGUCUUGUCAGUCAGGUGUGAAAGCCCGGGGCUCAACCCCGGAUGGUCACUUGAAACAGCAAGACUUGAGUACUGGAGAGGAGAGAGGAAUUCCUGGUGUAGAGGUGAAAUUCGUAGAUAUCAUCAGGAACACCGAUUGCGAAGGCAGCUUACUGGGCAAUAACUGACGCUAAGGUACGAAAGCGUGGGGAGCGAACAGGAUUAGAUA
RNAcentral lists this ribosomal RNA (279 nucleotides) under uncultured bacterium. RNAcentral describes it as "partial 16S ribosomal RNA". It matches the Rfam family "Bacterial small subunit ribosomal RNA", at positions 506 to 784 of the family's 1533-position model. The record is from RNAcentral.